This 192-nucleotide unclassified non-coding RNA is filed under the name soil metagenome. RNAcentral describes it as "partial internal transcribed spacer 1". The record is from RNAcentral.
ACGAGUUAGGGUCUUCUAGGCCCGGACCUCCCAACCCUAUGUUUAUUGAACCUCUGUUGCUUCGGCGGACCCGCCUCACGGCCGCCGGAGGACCGCUGCAAGGCGUCCUCUGGCCAGCGUCCGCCGAUGGCCAACCACUUAAACUCUGAAUGAAUCGUGUCAUAUGUCUAAGUCUAUGAUUAAAUUAAAGCA